AAUAGUUUAUUUACAAAUAAUAAAAUGAGAAUACAUUUUAAUAACCGUAUUUUCAUUAGAAAAUAAUCUACCUUUUUAGUAUCAUUCGGUUGGACCUUGAAUAUAAUAGUAUGAUGAUAACAUUUAAAUAUCAUAUGACUAAACAAAUACCAUAUUUCUGCUAGAAAUAUUUGCAGCAUCAGUAACAUCAUUCACAACUGUACAUCAAUAUAAAAAAUAUUUACAAAAUUACACAGCGUCAUUUAUACCUCAACUUCAAUAUGAAUGUUGUUCCGAAUAAAAUUAAGCGCCAUAAUAGUUCAAAAAAAUCCGUCAGCAUGAACAUAUCACCAGUAAUAUAUCAAUGGAGUCAACCUAUUAUCACAUGAACAUAAAUAUUAGACACGGAUUUUUUUUCUGCUAUCAAAAGCAUCAAAAUGGCACUUUGCAUGUAUGUGGUCAUCACCUCAAAAGGGACAUCGAAGAUCGAAACACAGUUUCUUCAAUCACGUCAUCUCCUCAUUGUUUGCCACUCAGAUGAUAUUUUUUCACCUAAUUACAUAAAUCAUUAAGGAUAUUAGCAUCUAAUCUUAAUAUACAAAACUUAGAUUAUUGCGACAUAAAAAAGUAGACCUACGGUUUCCUAACUAUAAAAAUUAUUAAUAACAUGAUCUACAAUACCGUCAAAUAUUUGUUGUCCAAAUUUUGGCUCUAACCCAACCUAAACGUUCAACAGAAGUACUAAUUACGACUUAAUGACAAAAAUAACAACAUCUUGCUUGUCAAAAAAAUUACUAGUAAUGGACAUAGCUAACAUUGAUCUACAACAUCUUCAACUUACUCGUGUGCAGAAGUUACUAUAAAUGCAACAUAUGUCAUCUGAAAACUUUUCUAACUUCUAAGCAGUAAACAUCGCAUAGAUAAUGACGAGCUAAAAAACUAACUAAUUUGCACCGUGCAUGCACAAGAAAAUCCAUGUAUUGCAAAGCUCAUACCUUCAACUUCGUAGUUCACUUUGCACGGCAAAUCUUACUCUAGAAACUCCAAAUGACUUCACAAAGUGAUGAAAUUAUGACUAAAGCAACAGAGAAUACAUAGUUAGAAACUAAUAAAACAAAACAAAAACAUCAUGCGUGCGAACGAAACCAACAAAGAUGGAUAGAUCUUACCUUGAUCUAUCUUUUCUUCAACUAAAACUUCUUCUGAAUCGGCUUUCAAAUCGCUCAAAAUCGUGAUCAAAGUAGCUAUUUGAGCUGUUUUUCUCAAUGUGCUAGGGUACUUAGAGCAGAGAGAGCAGAGAGGAGAGAGGAGAGGAGUGAGCGGGCUGCUGCGCAAAAUGAGGCACUUCCUGCCUCAUAUAAAGAAACAAACGCGUGUAUUCAGAGAGGUGUCGACAGAACGGGACAAAAACC
RNAcentral lists this long non-coding RNA (1391 nucleotides) under Triticum aestivum (bread wheat). RNAcentral describes it as "long non-coding RNA (TAES_LNC019475)". The record is from RNAcentral. Lineage: Eukaryota; Viridiplantae; Streptophyta; Magnoliopsida; Poales; Poaceae.